AACGAACGCUGGCGGCAUGCCUAACACAUGCAAGUCGAACGAGAUCUUCGGGUCUAGUGGCGCACGGGUGCGUAACGCGUGGGAAUCUGCCCUUUGGUUCGGAAUAACAGUUGGAAACGACUGCUAAUCCCGGAUGAUGACGAAAGUCCCAAGAUUUAUCGCCAGAGGAUGAGCCCGCGUAGGGUUAGCUAGUUGGUGUGGUAAAGGCGCACCAAGGCGACGAUCCUUAGCUGGUCUGAGAGGAUGAUCAGCCACACUGGGACUGAGACACGGCCCAGACUCCUACGGGAGGCAGCAGUGGGGAAUAUUGGACAAUGGGCGAAAGCCUGAUCCAGCAAUGCCGCGUGGGUGAUGAAGGCCUUAGGGUUGUAAAGCUCUUUUACCCGGGAUGAUAAUGACAGUACCGGGAGAAUAAGCUCCGGCUAACUCCGUGCCAGCCGCCGCGGUAA
RNAcentral lists this ribosomal RNA (449 nucleotides) under uncultured bacterium. Its description in RNAcentral is "partial 16S ribosomal RNA". It matches the Rfam family "Bacterial small subunit ribosomal RNA", at positions 29 to 523 of the family's 1533-position model. The record is from RNAcentral.